AGAGUUUGAUCCUGGCUCAGGACGAACGCUGGCGGCAUGCCUAAUACAUGCAAGUCGAACGCUGAAGCACUCUGCUUGCAGAGUGCGGAUGAGUGGCGAACGGGUGAGUAACACGUGGGAAAUGUGCCUAGGAGUGGGGGAUAACAUUCGGAAACGGAUGCUAAUACCGCAUAUCUUUUUGAACCGCAUGGUUCUUAAACGAAAGACGGCUUCGGCUGUCGCUCUUAGAUGAUCCCGCGGCGUAUUAGUUAGUUGGUGGGGUAAAGGCCUACCAAGACCAUGAUACGUAGCCGACCUGAGAGGGUGAUCGGCCACACUGGGACUGAGACACGGCCCAGACUCCUACGGGAGGCAGCAGUAGGGAAUCUUCCACAAUGGGUGAAAACCUGAUGGAGCAAUGCCGCGUGAAUGAAGAAGGUCUUCGGAUCGUAAAGUUCUGUUAUUAGAGAAGAACAAGUCAAGGAGUAACUGUCUUGACUUUGACGGUACCUAACCAGAAAGUCACGGCUAACUACGUGCCAGCAGCCGCGGUAAUACGUAGGUGACAAGCUUUGUCCGGAAUUAUUGGGCGUAAAGGGAGCGCAGGCGGUUGGAAUAGUCUGAUGUGAAAGCCCACGGCUUAACCGUGGAAGGUCAUUGGAAACUGUCCAACUUGAAUACAGAAGAGGUAAGUGGAAUUCCAAGUGUAGCGGUGAAAUGCGUAGAUAUUUGGAGGAACACCAGUGGCGAAGGCGACUUACUGGUCUGUAAUGACGCUGAGGCUCGAAAGCGUGGGUGCAAAC
Molecule: ribosomal RNA, 782 nt
Filed under: uncultured bacterium
Lineage: Bacteria
Description: bacterial SSU rRNA
Rfam family: Bacterial small subunit ribosomal RNA
Source: RNAcentral